This 481-nucleotide ribosomal RNA is filed under the name uncultured bacterium. RNAcentral describes it as "partial 16S ribosomal RNA". It matches the Rfam family "Bacterial small subunit ribosomal RNA", at positions 28 to 507 of the family's 1533-position model. The record is from RNAcentral.
GAUGAACGCUGGCGGCGUGCUUAACACAUGCAAGUCGAACGAAGCAUUUGCGACAGAUUUUUUCGGAAUGAAGUUGCUUAUGACUGAGUGGCGGACGGGUGAGCAACGCGUGGGUAACCUGCCUUGUACUGGGGGAUAGCAGCUGGAAACGGCUGGUAAUACCGCAUAAGCGCACAAUGUUGCAUGACAUGGUGUGAAAAACUCCGGUGGUAUAAGAUGGACCCGCGUCUGAUUAGCUAGUUGGUGAGAUAACAGCCCACCAAGGCGACGAUCAGUAGCCGACCUGAGAGGGUGACCGGCCACAUUGGGACUGAGACACGGCCCAGACUCCUACGGGAGGCAGCAGUGGGGAAUAUUGCACAAUGGAGGAAACUCUGAUGCAGCGACGCCGCGUGAGUGAAGAAGUAAUUCGUUAUGUAAAGCUCUAUCAGCAGGGAAGAUAGUGACGGUACCUGACGAAGAAGCUCCGGCUAAAUACGUG